UAGCGUAGAAAUAACUCGAAAUUGACGAAAAGCUUGGAGCUUUCUCUCUCCUCCUUUCUCUCUCUAGAAAAUUAAAUAAACCUCGAGACUACGAACAGCUUUUGUGAUUAUUUGCUUUUCAUUUCGCUGCCUCCCGCCCUCUCCCGCCUAUCCCUCAAUCGCUUAUUAGCUUCGCCUCCUCUGAAACCCUAAUUCCCUUCUUCUCUCCCAAAUCCAAAAUCCAUAUCCAAAUUGCUCCGACUCCGACCCGUUUUAACGUCUCUGAAGUUUCAACACUCGAAUAGUACAUAUAUAUUUCUGGUGCGAUUGCUAAGCUUUUUCAGUUUCUCUCUUAUCAGAUGGUCGUACCCAGUGCACAAGGCUCCCGCUUUACGCAAGGUCUGGGAGAGUUAUGAUUUUAACUUUCUCGGAUUUGCAUUGGAUUAAGUCUCAUUGAAAUUGAAUAGCUGUAAAAAAGGAAAAUGGAGAUGAAGUUGUUCCUUUUCCCUUUGUUCUGUUGUGUAAUAUAUUUUCAAAAUCUAAUUUUACUUCUUACUUUUUACCUU
Molecule: small RNA, 545 nt
Filed under: Malus domestica (apple)
Lineage: Eukaryota; Viridiplantae; Streptophyta; Magnoliopsida; Rosales; Rosaceae
Description: sRNA MD08G0188500
Source: RNAcentral